This 477-nucleotide ribosomal RNA is filed under the name uncultured bacterium. Its description in RNAcentral is "bacterial SSU rRNA". It matches the Rfam family "Bacterial small subunit ribosomal RNA", at positions 52 to 507 of the family's 1533-position model. The record is from RNAcentral.
CACAUGCAAGUCGAGGGGCAGCAUGAGACGGAGUAUUCGUCGAAGUUCUUGAUGGCGACCGGCGCGAAGGGUGCGUAACGCGUGAGCAACUUCGUCCCGUUUUCGUGGGAAUACCGGUAGGAAACGCCGACUAAUACCCCAUAGUAUUGAGUUUAGGCAUCUUUACUCAAUUAAAAAAUUUAUUGCUUACAGAUGGGCAUGCGUAUGAUUAGCUAGUUGGCGGGGUAACGGCCCACCAAGGCGACGAUCAUUAGGGGUUCUGAGAGGAAGGUCCCCCACAUUGGAACUGAGACACGGUCCAAACUCCUACGGGAGGCAGCAGUGAGGAAUAUUGGUCAAUGGACGCAAGUCUGAACCAGCCAUGUCGCGUGAAGGAUGACUGUCCUAUGGAUUGUAAACUUCUUUUAUAUGGGGAUAAAGUGUGAGACUUGUCUCAUUUUGCAUGUACCAUAUGAAUAAGCAUCGGCUAACUCCGUG